GACGAACGCUGGCGGCGUGCUUAACACAUGCAAGUCGAACGGAAAGGCCCUGCUCUUGUGGGGUGCUCGAGUGGCGAACGGGUGAGUAACACGUGAGUAACCUGCCCUUGACUUUGGGAUAACUUCAGGAAACUGGGGCUAAUACCGGAUAGGAGCUCCUGCUGCAUGGUGGGGGUUGGAAAGUUUCGGCGGUUGGGGAUGGACUCGCGGCUUAUCAGCUUGUUGGUGGGGUAGUGGCUUACCAAGGCUUUGACGGGUAGCCGGCCUGAGAGGGUGACCGGCCACAUUGGGACUGAGAUACGGCCCAGACUCCUACGGGAGGCAGCAGUGGGGAAUAUUGCACAAUGGGCGGAAGCCUGAUGCAGCAACGCCGCGUGCGGGAUGAAGGCCUUCGGGUUGUAAACCGCUUUCGCCUGUGACGAAGCGUGAGUGACGGUAAUGGGUAAAGAAGCACCGGCUAACUACGUG
This 468-nucleotide ribosomal RNA is filed under the name uncultured bacterium. RNAcentral's name for it is "partial 16S ribosomal RNA". It matches the Rfam family "Bacterial small subunit ribosomal RNA", at positions 28 to 507 of the family's 1533-position model. The record is from RNAcentral.